Molecule: ribosomal RNA, 467 nt
Filed under: uncultured bacterium
Lineage: Bacteria
Description: partial 16S ribosomal RNA
Rfam family: Bacterial small subunit ribosomal RNA
Source: RNAcentral
ACGAACGCUGGCGGCGUGCUUAACCCAUGCCAGUCGAACGGAAAGGCCCUGCUUUUGUGGGGUGCUCGAGUGGCGAACGGGUGAGUAACACGUGAGUAACCUGCCCUUGACUUUGGGAUAACUUCAGGAAACUGGGGCUAAUACCGGAUAGGAGCUCCUGCUGCAUGGUGGGGGUUGGAAAGUUUCGGCGGUUGGGGAUGGACUCGCGGCUUAUCAGCUUGUUGGUGGGGUAGUGGCUUACCAAGGCUUUGACGGGUAGCCGGCCUGAGAGGGUGACCGGCCACAUUGGGACUGAGAUACGGCCCAGACUCCUACGGGAGGCAGCAGUGGGGAAUAUCGCACAAUGGGCGGAAGCCUGAUGCAGCAACGCCGCGUGCGGGAUGACGGCCUUCGGGUUGUAAACCGCUUUCGCCUGUGACGAAGCGUGAGUGACGGUAAUGGGUAAAGAAGCACCGGCUAACUACGUG